UGGACAGAAAAUAGUUUAGUUUUAGAAUUCUGGCUUUGGGAGCCAGGGGUGGGAGUUAAAAUCUCCCUUUUCUGGG
Molecule: transfer RNA, 76 nt
Filed under: Deltistes luxatus (Lost River Sucker)
Lineage: Eukaryota; Metazoa; Chordata; Actinopteri; Cypriniformes; Catostomidae
Also listed under: 9 other names
Description: tRNA-Pro
Rfam family: tRNA
About the family: Transfer RNA (tRNA) molecules are approximately 80 nucleotides in length. Their secondary structure includes four short double-helical elements and three loops (D, anti-codon, and T loops).
Source: RNAcentral